UCUAUCUGGAAAGAGUGUUCAUUCAUUCACCGAAGGGGAAAAACCGAAAGGUUGAAGCUCUCAGGUACCGAGACAGAGGGGG
Molecule: non-coding RNA, 82 nt
Filed under: marine eukaryotic metagenome
Description: Glycine riboswitch
Rfam family: Glycine riboswitch aptamer
About the family: This family represents the bacterial glycine riboswitch. Glycine riboswitches usually consist of two metabolite-binding aptamers domains with similar structures in tandem.
Source: RNAcentral